This 63-nucleotide microRNA precursor is filed under the name Pristionchus pacificus. RNAcentral's name for it is "mir-8364 microRNA precursor family". It matches the Rfam family "mir-8364 microRNA precursor family". The record is from Rfam by way of RNAcentral. Lineage: Eukaryota; Metazoa; Nematoda; Chromadorea; Rhabditida; Neodiplogasteridae.
UCUUCAUUUCACACGUGCACUCUCACCGGUCAGAGAGGCGAGAGAGCACGCGAAAUGAGGAGU